AUUGAACGCUGGCGGCAUGCCUUACACAUGCAAGUCGAACGGCAGCGGACCUUCGGGUGCCGGCGAGUGGCGAACGGGUGAGUAAUAUAUCGGAACGUACCUUUCAGUGGGGGAUAACGUAGCGAAAGUUACGCUAAUACCGCAUAUUCUGUGAGCAGGAAAGCAGGGGAUCGCAAGACCUUGCGCUGAUUGAGCGGCCGAUAUCAGAUUAGCUAGUUGGUGAGGUAAAGGCUCACCAAGGCGACGAUCUGUAGCGGGUCUGAGAGGAUGAUCCGCCACACUGGAACUGAGACACGGUCCAGACUCCUACGGGAGGCAGCAGUGGGGAAUUUUGGACAAUGGGCGGCAAGACCUGAUCCAGCCAUGCCGCGUGAGUGAAGAAGGCCUCG
RNAcentral lists this ribosomal RNA (389 nucleotides) under uncultured bacterium. Its description in RNAcentral is "bacterial SSU rRNA". It matches the Rfam family "Bacterial small subunit ribosomal RNA", at positions 30 to 419 of the family's 1533-position model. The record is from RNAcentral.